UUUACGUGUUUUCCAAAAAAAAAUUUGCUCUGCUUCACUCACGUGCCAAACACGAACAUUGCAUCAUCCUUCUUCUUCCCAAAAAAAACCGCAUCAACUCUUCUUCCUCCCCAACACCCUUUCUAUUCUCUCUGUCAACACUCAACAGUUGUUUCUUAGCCUUCCCAAAUCGAAAAUCGUCUGAGUUUGCUCCACGAUUUCACCGAGUUCGCACUCUACUCUUCAACCGUUGACCGGUGUGCACCGUCGCCGGUACAAUUCGUCAUUGCAAUCGAGUAAUCCGUCAAGUGUAUUCUCAUAACAGGUUUUAUCACUCACACUUUGGGGAGAACUGAAAGCCAAGCACCUCACGCUUGAAAGUUUAUCGCAAGUGCAAGGGAAACUUCUGAUGGAGUGUAAGAAGUUGAUAUUGGCUCAACAAAAUGGGCUCCUUCUCAAGGUCUAAAAAUUGCUACAGAAUCUCAGGUCUUAACCCCCAUAACUUGCAAGAAUCAUACACCUUUGUAAUGGUACUCCUAGAUAUAUUUGUUGAAAGACUUAGAUUAUCGUUGCAAUAAUAUUGUUUUUUUGAUCUUAACUAAUGGUUUAAUUAUCUAUAGGAAGUUUAAAACUUGAUAAUUAAGGUGUUAGUGGCUAAACCUGGUUCGUCUUAUCCGGUUUAACUCGCUACCCAACCGCCCAUCUAACCACCUGUACUUGCAGUAAUUAAAUUGAUAAAUGGAGUGAUCAACCUUCAGUUUGCAAGUGUAAAUAGAUGUGAUAAGUUGAUUAAAAAAAUGCAUACCACAGAGUCACUGAAGUUCAUGGUAGAUAGGGAGAAAGGGAGACUAAACCUUCUGGUGGUGGUUAGCCACCGUACGCGGCGGUGAUGCCACCCACUCCGGCGAGGGCCGUUGGUUACGAUUGGGCUGGAGAAAAACUGCAUGGCAAUCUCAAGUUCAGGUUGCAUGGGCUAAUCACUUGAACCAAACAUAAAUGGAGAAAUCCUGAUUGGCUAACCAGGUAAAUUGUUUCUUCAAAACCCUUAUUUGCUUUUGGCUGGGGGUGAGCAUUUCAAGGACCCAACCGGCAGAACUAUGGAUCCGGACCACCAAGAGAUAUGACCGGCCCGUUUGAUGAUUUAGUGUAAGGUUCCCGGUUCCCUGAUUUGUUGCAGUGCGCAAAUGCCAAAUCCCAAAUCUCAAGCUGCUGAUUCAUUGGUAAGAAGAUCACCGCUUGAUUCCAUAUCACCAAGGAAGCGAUUAGCUCUUACAAUAACACAGUUUGAAUCAGACAAAUCAAAGUACAAGGGUUUUGCCCGUAUGGAAGAAAAGUUAAGAGACUUAAAAGCAGUUGGCCGAGAAAACGUCUAUACUUAAUUCAUAGGGACUUCAGUAAACGGGUUGAAAGAAUAUAAAGCCAAAAUAAUGUGUACUUAUUGUAACGAAGUUUUGUGCAGUUUGAAGCUAGACGACCAUUGGUGGGUGCAAAUGUAGAUGGAUGAACAUGUUCAGUUCAAGAGAGGAUUAUUAUCAAGGGAUGAUCCGAACAAGAUUUAUAAAAGUAUGUAAAAGGUUAAUGGCAUUUGUAUUGUCAUAGGUUUUACAUGCUUAAUGUUUAGUGUUAUUUAACUUUCCCGCCGCAACACGGAUGGACUUUCGUCUAUCGUUUAUAUACGUUACGCCUUAAUUUGUAUGCCCCCGGCCGCAACGCGGCGGGGUUCCAUCUAGUUUGAUUAAAAAAACCAAU
Molecule: long non-coding RNA, 1728 nt
Organism: Helianthus annuus (common sunflower)
Lineage: Eukaryota; Viridiplantae; Streptophyta; Magnoliopsida; Asterales; Asteraceae
Exons: 5
Source: RefSeq, a predicted model, not a curated record